This is a long non-coding RNA of Cervus elaphus (red deer), 1815 nucleotides long. RefSeq lists it as uncharacterized. NCBI's taxonomy places the organism in Eukaryota, Metazoa, Chordata, Mammalia, Artiodactyla, Cervidae. The record is from RefSeq and is a predicted model, not a curated record. The transcript is spliced from 3 exons.
CGAGCCGGGGGCGGGGGCGCGCGGGGAGGCCGGAGGGGCGCGGCGGGCCUGCAGAGGCUGCAAGGGUCGGGGAGGAGCCGGCGGCCCGCAGGCCCGGGGGUGACAGGGAGGGGCUGGGGGGGUCCGGGGCUGAGCCAGCAGGGUCCGCUCCCUCACAGAGGAGGCUGAGCGCCCGCCUUGGAGAGGAAGGCCGUCCUUUGCGAGGCGGGCCGCCUCCGCAAAGACUUGGUCGUUGUCAUCUGGGGCACUCGGCCAAGGAAGGACUUCCUCUGAGCUGUAAUAAUCAACCCGGGUCGGGCGGAAUGUGUAACUAGGAGGCGGUGGCCGCAGGUGUCCAGCGGGAGGCCAGCGCUGCCGGCUGGGAGGCAGGCUGACCUGCCGGGGACGGAGCUUUCACUCCUCACCUACGGGGCCCUCGCCGGUGAGGCUGAGCUGGCGUCCGGGGAAAGCUGGCACAAUCUCAGGAUGUACCUGUUCCGAAGAGUCCCUAGAAAACUGUAGUCAUCGCCCCUCUGCACUCCAGUUUAGGGGAGUGUGGCCUUUGGACAGGAAGCAUCUCUCGGCCCUCAGCCGCGGGUGCAUUUUCUACGGGGAAGGCUUCCAUAAGCCAAGGCACACUGGAGCUACUUCUGAGGGAAAUGAAGGGAGAAGGAUUUCUUCCAAAAUAGAUACUACCUCCUCCUCAGACUGCCUGCCCCACUCCCUCGUCCUGGCAGAGACUCGGCUCCGCGUGCUGUUGGCAGACCCAGGCUGACCCAAGGCUCAGCUGUGCGUGGACUCCCACCAUCUCUGGGGCAGAAGAAAGACAUGGUGCCACGUGAAUAGCUUGUGAGGACCGAUUGGGAGCUGACAGAAUCGCUUUCAUUGACAUUUCACAGGUCAAAGCAAGUGGUGUGGUUACAGCUCAGGCGGAGAGCACAAUGUCAUUCUUGCUCCAGAGGGAGAGAAGAGAGAGGGCUGUGGAGAGACGUUUCCCUGCCCUCCCCUGCCACCUCCGCCCCUGGGACUCUCACCUGUGCAGGAAGCUCUUUCUGCUUUUAUUUUGAACAAUUGCACUGAAGUAUAACUGACAUUUAAACUGCACACUUCAGUGAUUUUUGGUGUCUGUGUAUACCUGUUGUCACUGCUACUUGGAUGUCCCUUUAAGGUGGACAGAGGCAUUUUUUAAUGAUUCUGUUUCAUCUGCUUUUUGCUUAUUAGGAAUAAGUACAUGUGAGAUUAUGUUCGUGGUUGUUUUAGGGUCUCUAGUGGUAGUUUAGUGGUUGUUUUAGGUCUUGGGGCUUCCCUGGUGGCUCAGAUGAUGAAGAAUCUGCCUGUAAUGCAGGAGCCCUGGGUUCGAUCCCUGGGUCGGGAAGAUCCCCUGGAGAAGGGAAUGGCUACCCACCCCAGUAUUCUUGCCUGGAGAAUCCCAUGCACAGAGGAGCCUGGCGGGCAGAGGAGCCUGGCGGGGUACAGUGGGGUCACCAAGCGCCAGGUAUGACUGAGCAACAGUCACUUCACUUUGGGUUCACUUGGUGUUAGAGUCCGCCUGCCAAUACAGGAGACACAGGUUCAGGCCCUGGUCUGGGAGGAUCCCACAUGCCGAGGAGCAGCUGGGCCUGUGUGCAGCGGCUAUCGAGCUUGCGCUCUAGAGCUCGGGAGCCACAGCCAAUGAUGCCAGAGCACCUAAAGCCCCUGCUCUGCAACAGGAGAGGCCACGGCAUUGAGCAGCCCUCAUACCACUGCUGGGGAGUAGCCCCUGCUCGCUGCAACUAGGGAAAAAACCAUGUAACAACAAAGACCCAGCACAGCCAAAAAUAAAAGAUUUUCUGAAAA